RNAcentral lists this microRNA precursor (63 nucleotides) under Pseudonaja textilis. RNAcentral describes it as "microRNA let-7f-2 (ENSPTXG00000006748.1)". The record is from RNAcentral. Lineage: Eukaryota; Metazoa; Chordata; Lepidosauria; Squamata; Elapidae.
CCCCCUGGGAUGAGGUAGUAGAUUGUAUAGUUUUAGGGUCAUACCCGGUCUUGGAGAUAACUA